Molecule: long non-coding RNA, 681 nt
Filed under: Mustela putorius furo (domestic ferret)
Lineage: Eukaryota; Metazoa; Chordata; Mammalia; Carnivora; Mustelidae
Description: lncRNA (ENSMPUG00000030009.1)
Source: RNAcentral
CACACACACACACCACUUAUUAAAACACAAAACUAAAGGAGGAAAAAAAAACCCAGUUGAGCUGAUAAUAACACCUGGCCUGGCACUAAUCAUAAAGUCGUGCUAUCCUCACUGCUGAACUGAGAAGGAAAUUCCAUGGUUUGUUCCACAGAAUUCUGUGCCCUUUCCCACAGAGUUCUGGAGAACUGUGGGUGGCUUUUAACUAUGGCUGACACAGUCCGACUCUGCAGUUAAUCAGGACACAGCCAACACUGGGGGCCUCGCACUGUGGGAGCCGAGACUCAUAACUGAACAGUGAAAGGUCUGAACUGGACAGGUGGUAACCUGAAUUCUGAUCCUACAUCUGUCACCGACAACUUCCAUGAUUUCAGAAAGACAUUUCUUCUGUGCAAGCCUGAUUUCCUUACUGAUUUACAGACAGUUUACUGGAAGGGUUCUAAGUUCCCCUCUCCAUGUAAAAUCUUCAGGAAGGCAUUAACUGACAAUUUUCAUCACAGCCCACAGUUCCUUCUUUCAAAUGAAAGCAACAGAAAUUUAGAAGAAAAAAAAAUACAAAGCCUGAAAAAAUUUAGAAAUUUACAAAUUCUUCUAUUCUCUCAUGACCAUGGGCUCUGGCCUGUAUCAGAAAGCCUAAUACCAGAAAGAACAAGACAAAAGAAUUCUUGGUGCUUAAAUAUCUGA